UGACCCCAGGUCAGGCGGGAUUACCCGCUGAGUUU
This 35-nucleotide ribosomal RNA is filed under the name Podostemaceae sp. NPT-2011. RNAcentral describes it as "partial 26S ribosomal RNA". The record is from RNAcentral. Lineage: Eukaryota; Viridiplantae; Streptophyta; Magnoliopsida; Malpighiales; Podostemaceae.